This 500-nucleotide ribosomal RNA is filed under the name uncultured bacterium. Its description in RNAcentral is "partial 16S ribosomal RNA". It matches the Rfam family "Bacterial small subunit ribosomal RNA", at positions 30 to 523 of the family's 1533-position model. The record is from RNAcentral.
AUUGAACGCUGGCGGAAUGCUUUACACAUGCAAGUCGAACGGCAGCACGGGGGCAACCCUGGUGGCGAGUGGCGAACGGGUGAGUAAUACAUCGGAACGUGCCCAGUCGUGGGGGAUAACGUAGCGAAAGUUACGCUAAUACCGCAUACGAUCUACGGAUGCUAGCGGGGGACCGUAAGGCCCCGCGCGAUUGGAUGGGCCGAUGUCAGAUUAGGUAGUUGGUGAGUUAAAGGCUCACCAAGCCGACGAGCUGUAGCUGGUCUGAGAGGACGACCAGCCACACUGGGACUGAGACACGGCACAGACUCCUACGGGAGGCAGCAGUGGGGAAUUUUGGACAAUGGGCGCAAGCCUGAUCCAGCCAUUCCGCGUGAAGGACGAAGGCCUUCGGGUUGUAAACUGCUUUUGUACAGAACGAAAAGGUUUCUACUAAUACUAGGAGCUCAUGACGGUACUGUAAGAAUAAGCACCGGCUAACUACGUGCCAGCCGCCGCAGUAA